AGUGAACGCUGGCGGUAGGCCUAACACAUGCAAGUCGAACGGCAGCACAGUAAGAGCUUGCUCUUACGGGUGGCGAGUGGCGGACGGGUGAGGAAUGCAUCGGAAUCUACUUUUUCGUGGGGGAUAACGUAGGGAAACUUACGCUAAUACCGCAUACGACCUACGGGUGAAAGCAGGGGAUCUUCGGACCUUGCGCGAUUGAAUGAGCCGAUGUCGGAUUAGCUAGUUGGCGGGGUAAAGGCCCACCAAGGCGACGAUCCGUAGCUGGUCUGAGAGGAUGAUCAGCCACACUGGAACUGAGACAGGGUCCAGACUCCUACGGGAGGCAGCAGUGGGGAAUAUUGGACAAUGGGCGCAAGCCUGAUCCAGCCAUACCGCGUGGGUGAAGAAGGCCUUCGGGUUGUAAAGCCCUUUUGUUGGGAAAGAAAAGCAGCAGGUUAAUACCCCGCUGUUCUGACGGUACCCAAAGAAUAAGCACCGGCUAACUUCGUG
Molecule: ribosomal RNA, 492 nt
Filed under: uncultured bacterium
Lineage: Bacteria
Description: partial 16S ribosomal RNA
Rfam family: Bacterial small subunit ribosomal RNA
Source: RNAcentral